This 29-nucleotide non-coding RNA is filed under the name Rattus norvegicus (Norway rat). The record is from RNAcentral. Lineage: Eukaryota; Metazoa; Chordata; Mammalia; Rodentia; Muridae.
UGAUUUUAAUUCUAUAAAUCUAUGAUAAU